RNAcentral lists this transfer RNA (90 nucleotides) under Nitrospira sp. RNAcentral describes it as "tRNA-Ser". It matches the Rfam family "tRNA". Rfam says of the family: Transfer RNA (tRNA) molecules are approximately 80 nucleotides in length. Their secondary structure includes four short double-helical elements and three loops (D, anti-codon, and T loops). Further hydrogen bonds mediate the characteristic L-shaped molecular structure. tRNAs have two regions of fundamental functional importance: the anti-codon, which is responsible for specific mRNA codon recognition, and the 3' end, to which the tRNAs corresponding amino acid is attached (by aminoacyl-tRNA synthetases). tRNAs cope with the degeneracy of the genetic code in two manners: having more than one tRNA (with a specific anti-codon) for a particular amino acid; and 'wobble' base-pairing, i.e. permitting non-standard base-pairing at the 3rd anti-codon position. Lineage: Bacteria; Pseudomonadati; Nitrospirota; Nitrospiria; Nitrospirales; Nitrospiraceae. The record is from RNAcentral.
GGAGGGGUGCCGGAGCGGCCGAUCGGACCGGUCUUGAAAACCGGAGAUGGGGUAACUCAUCCGCGAGUUCAAAUCUCGCCCCCUCCGCCA